GCUGGGGUGGUGAGACGGUUAACUCGCCAGGCUGGCAGGCUCCCGGCGUCUACUCCAUCGGAGGCCGAGAUGGAGACGAUGCGAGCACAGAGGCUGCAGCCUGGGGUGGGCACCGGCGGGAGGGGCACUCUGCGAGCGCUGAGGCCCGGAGUGACCGGGGCCGCGGCUGUCGCCACCACACCCCCAGCGGGCCCUCCGCCGGCCCCGCCGCCCCCUGCCCCGCCCCCGCUGCUCCUGUCUGGGGGCCCUGGGCUGCCCCUGCCCCCAGGCGCCGCCGGCAGCCCCGCGGUGCUGCGGGAAGCGGUGGAGGCUGUGGUGAGGAGCUUCGCCAAGCACACGCAGGGCUACGGCCGAGUGAAUGUGGUUGAGGCACUUCAGGAAUUCUGGCAGAUGAAGCAGUCCCGUGGGGCUGACUUGAAGAAUGGGGCUCUAGUGGUUUAUGAGAUGGUACCCUCCAACAGCCCUCCAUAUGUCUGCUAUGUCACCCUGCCUGGGGGAAGUUGCUUUGGGAGUUUCCAGUUUUGCCCCACAAAAGCUGAGGCCCGGCGGAGUGCUGCAAAGAUUGCACUAAUGAACUCUGUGUUUAAUGAACAUCCUUCCCGGAGAAUCACUGAUGAGUUCAUUGAGAAGAGUGUCUCUGAGGCCCUGGCAUCUUUCAAUGGCAACAAGGAGGAGGCUGACAACCCAAACACAGGGAUUGGUGCUUUCCGAUUCAUGUUGGAAUCCAACAAGGGCAAGUCAAUGUUGGAGUUCCAGGAGCUAAUGACAGUUUUCCAACUGCUGCACUGGAAUGGCAGCCUUAAGGCCAUGAGAGAAAGACAGUGCUCUCGACAGGAGGUGUUGGCGCAUUAUUCACACCGAGCCCUGGAUGAUGAUAUUCGCCACCAAAUGGCAUUGGACUGGUUUCCGAGGUGCCUAGAGCGUGAGCGGUAGCGAUGAGAGCUACAACGAAGGCAGAAUGGCGGACGUGUCCGAUUUUCUUGAGGCUGGAAGCGAGGACUUCGCCAUGGAUGAAGAUAGGGACGAGAGCAUCCACAAAUUGAAAGAAAAAGCAAAGAAACGGAAAGGCCGAGGCUUUGGCUUCGAAGAGGGAUGCCGAGCGCGGAUGCGUGAAGAUUACGACAGCGUGGAGCAGGAUGGCAAUGAACCCAGACCACAACACUGUUGGUGAAGUGAACCUAUGGGGAUCUGUGUCCUUAAGCAGUUCGGACCCAUAAAGUAAAACCGAGUCGGAAUGGGGUCAGAGAUAGUCUGAGAAAGCAGUAGAGUCUGCAGUUUCUCUACUCUCAUAGUCCUAUUUAGAGUUGUUUUUUUUUUUUCCUUGUAUUCAAACCACCUCCAUCUUCCCCACUGCCCCACCAACAUCUGUUGAAGGCUGGAUUCUCUUUGUCAUUGGAGUUCAUGAGGAAGUUACCAAAGACAUCCAUGGUAAAUAUGCAGAAUAUGGAGAAAUAAAAAACAUCCACCUCAACCUAGACAGGUGGAAAGUAUGUGACAUUACAUUGCUUCCCUUUCCGCAUAACCUUUAGAUAGAAUUAGGGGAGCAUACUUGAUAUUUGAUAUGCUUGACCAGUAGAAAAGUUGAAGUAAAAUGAUAUUGGAAAUUGAUUUUUUCAGACAUGGCAAAUAGGCAAAUAUAGAGAAACAUAUACAUUAUGUAGACAACAGGGUUGCAUGACGUAUGGUAAUUUUUUUCAGUGUGUAGAUUUUCCUAUUUAAAUUGAGUUUAGGUAUGAGAAAGAUGAUACCCAGUGACUCUUGGUGACAUAGGAGCAUUUUGGUAUGUCUUUUUACAUCCCCUAGGAGUAUACUCUGGUUGAGUAUGAAACAUGCAGGGAGGCCCAGGCUGCCAUGGAGGGACUCAAUGGCCAGGAUUUGAUGGGACAGCCCAUCAGCGUUGACUGGUGUUUUGUUCCGGGUCUGCCCAAGAGCAAGACGAGGUAAGGUGGAGGGAGGAGUGACUAUCUUGGUAAGGGAAUGUGAGCAGAACAGAACAACGGCUUUGUAGGAUGUCACUCUGAUGGACCCUGCCUUCUUCUCCUGUUCUCUAGAGGUGGUCGAAGACACAGCACGUGUCCAGACUGGAGAUGGCGCUGAUGGGUCCUCUGUUGUCCAGAUGUUCUCUGCUGAGAUUCCAUUUGACCAUGCAGCCCUGGAGAAGUUGGGCUAGGGUAGAACUUGCUGUGUUUAUGUUUAGUCUGUCGCCCUACCUGCUUUGUGUUUGAGUUGUGAAUAAAUGUCCCAGUUUUGUUUUCUAUGUUUAAAGUUUUCUGCUCUAACUAGAGUUGAAGGUUCUGGAGCACUAUUCACAAUAAGGCAGUAUGGGUCAUUGUGAACAUACUUCACCCAGGGAAUGAAUUCUCUGUGGCUUUUUACAUUGGAUAUAGUCUUAAAUAUCAUCUGGAGUCAGAAUAUAGGCACUGCUGGGUGUUUUUUUCUUAGAAGUUAAAAGACUGAGAGUAGCAGUGAGAUGUACUAAUGGUAUUAGAGAAUAUUCUGUUCCUGUGUACUCUGUCCUGAGGAAACGGAUGUUACAGUAGUGUCUUUUUGGUUUCUCCUGUCCUCCUUGUUGCCACAUUUGUGUGUGCUUCUAGCUGUCUUGGGCAUCCUGCCAGACUGUCCCCCCUGGAGGACUCUGCCUGGUUCUUGGUGCCGCCUUUGGCAGCCAAGCAUGGAGGCCCCAUAGAAUAGAGGAUCCAGAGGAGUGCUGAGGAGGCCAAAGAGGAAAAGGAUGCGGCUGAGGCUGGGGGUGACUUCAGUUAGCAUGGUGGGGGAGAACCACUACCACAGACCCAGCAGGUAAUAAGGUGUCCAGCAGAGGACAAAGGUCAGCAAGACAAGGAGGGCCAGUUGCAGGGCCCUCAGGCGGACCCAAGGCCAAUUGUGUAAGGAGCAGUGGAGUGCAAAUCUAUCGGCAGGGGCUGGGAAUUUAGAAAAUAUACUCGGUUCAGAGCCACUUAGUUUCUGAAAGGAGUAUAAAAUGAAUUAGUGGAGGGGCAGUGACAAUGAGAUGGAGCUCUGCCCCCACCAUUGGAAAUAAAUGCUGCAAACCCCCUUCCCCUUCCCAACCUGGUACUCCAUGAUCCCUCCCCCCAGGGAUUGUGGCCAGCACGCUAAGGAAUGAGUUUUGAUCACGGUGCUGUGUUACAUAUGAAGUCCCCACGUCUGUCUCCAGGCUUUAGUGUCACAGAGUAAAGGAAAAUACAGAUCACCUUCAUCCUGAAUCCUUGCCCAGCUAACUUCAGACGACUAGAGAGUACUCAGAAUCAAAUGCAUUCAGUAAAAUGAUCUGUAGCAUCAGGUGCUGGAGAUAAUGGUGAGAUCUCAGUUUGGAUUAGUGACUGGUAGACAGCUGUCAGGUAGAGAGCUAGAUAAUUAGGCUAGAGGCAACAGCUUUAAGGGUGAGGAUUAGGGCCUGGGAUUGGAAUCUCACCAUGGUUGCUUUUCCUUGUCUGCAGCAUAUACACACUGAGAACAAUACGGCUAUAGCAGAUGGCCAUGGCAGCAUGAAGAGGCAGCAGAAGGUACUAUCUGUUUUCCCUCAUCGUGAAUUUGAUCUGGGAUGCCUGUGCGAUUCACCUACUGAUGGAACAAGAGCCUUCAGCUUGUAGCCGGCAGCUGAACGGUUCCAGGGGAAGAGCCCCAGAAGGAAUUGAAACUGGUGGUCCUGGGGAACCAGGGAUUCCAGGAGGAGGCCUGCCCCAGCUGACUCUGAAGCUUUGGCUGCAAAUCCUACUUGGGUCCUUCAAGGUCAUCCCCUGCUUCUGCUGGAUGUGGUCAGAAAUGCUUGUGAUUCCUUUAUUCCACUGGACAAACUAGGCCUCUGGUUCUGUGGCCCCAGUAUUGUGGGGCUUUGGGGCCUUGUGCCUAUUUUCACCCUAAUCUAUCCUUGGCUAUGACUCAAGCUGUGACAUUCUGGUGCAGGAUAAGGAGGGGACCUGAAUUGGUGAGAUGGCAUCUUAGAUCGCCCCUGAUGUACCAGCCUUGUUCUAACUCUGUCCUUGGUUGAAGUUCAGAUCCAGAGAUUUGUGGUGGAGGGAGAAGCUUUGGGAAUGAUGAGGUGAGGAGAGGAAAGGUGACUCUUAAAGUCAAUAGGAUGAAUCUGAUGUCCAAAUCUGCCUGAGCUUUUGUUCUUUUCCUCCUUUAUUACAUUGUCUUUGUCUCCCUUGAUUCUUUUUACUUUGUUCUUCUUACAUUUUUUAAGAUUCUGUCUGUAUGUAUCUCUUUAUCUUCUCAGUCCCCUGUUCUAGGAAUUUAAUCAGCAGCAGCAUUACCUUUUGGGGAGAAGAAGGGGUGAUAGAAGUUUUGCUCUGAACUGUGUUCUUUUCCUCGCAGAGGUGGCUUGUGGUAGAUUCUCACCUACCCCCCCCAUCAUAAUUUUGAGACUUUAUGUCCCAGAGCACUCUCCCCCAAUCUCUGCUCCAAGGGUUGUUUGAUACUUCCGCUUCCUCCCUCAUGUCUGCCUCAUCAAACUCCCUCAUGACUUGCCCCUUAUCCUUCCCUUGAAUCACAGCUACAGAUUUGUGCUUGCACUUCCGUUUCAGAGAUUUGUUCCCAGUUUCUUCUUACCUCCUCUUUGUCUACUCAGAAUGAUGUCUCUGGCAUCUUGCUGUAAAUACUGUGCAGUGAAUCUAAAUAGCUGUGGCCCGUGCCCAAGAUGGAGAGCAAGCCUUCCAGGCCAGCAAAUUAAAGAUCAGUUUGCUCAUCCACGUUUGGUCUGAUCCGUUGUGUUCUGGUUAUCUGAGACUCCUGUUUUUGUCACCAUGGUUUGGGUUUUCCAUUGGCCACUAGCAUGAUCAUCCACAGAUUUUUUUUUUGGGUGUGCUACAUGUGUGUUUGUAUAUGUGUUUGUGUAUCAAAACAUUUGUCGUUUCAACAUUUUUUUCAUCCACAGAAUUUUAGUACCUACCAUGUGCAGGACAUCGUGUAAGAUGGUAGAGAUACAAAAUACUAAGAAGCUCCACGGAUGCAACUUCAAGGACUUCAUAGCUCAGGUGAGGAGAUGGAGUCUAAUGGUAAAGUAAUCUGGUUCCACAGACCCAUCCCACACCAGUCUAUAGUCCCUCCAGGCAGCAUAGACUUAAGUGCCACAAGCAGAAGUAAGUGGAAUGGGGCUGGCAAGGCUUGGUUUGUGGCCGUGGCUUCACAUGUUGGGACUCCCCUGGGUGGGUGGGGAUGUGAUAUCACUGUUAUCAACGCUUUCAUUUUCCAUAUCGCAGGUUGGGAUAAAUAAGGUUAUGAAAUAAAAAGACUCUUAUCUCUUACUCAUACCUUCUGUUCCAAACCUGAGUAAAUCAGUAUUGAACUGGGAACAACAAAAAAUUUAAAAAAGUGAAAAGAAACAGCAGAAGUGGUCAAGAAAUGUGUUCUCUCUGUAUUUUGAGAUGAGGCCUCCAGGGGGCAGCACUAAGGCAAAGAAAUACAGUAGUCCCCCCUUAUUUUCAGUUCACUUUCUCCUUCACAGUGCUUGUGUUCAAGUAACCCUUGUUUUACUUAAUGCCCCAAAGCUCAAGAGUAAUGAUGCUGGCAAUUUGAAUAUGCCAAGGAGAAACCAUAAAGUGUUUCUAUUUUAUUUAUUAGUGUUGUUAAUUUCUUACUGUGCUUAAUUUAUAAAUUAAACUUUAUCAUAGGUACAUACGUAUAGGAAAAAACAUAGUACGUAAAGAUUUCGGUACGAUCUACAGUUUCAGGCAUCCACUGGGGGUCUUGGAACGUAUCCCUCACAGAUAAGAGGGGACUACAGUACACUGAAACCACUGAGUCCUCCUUCCCUUGGUCUGGGGCUCCCCACAGUUCUCUACCAUCACUCCUCCCAUUCCUUCCAACUUUAUUUUUAGCCACCAGUAGGAGGGGGUAGGAUGGGAGGGAAAGUAAAGAAAAUAGAAAAGGAGAAGGACAGAGGCACAAGAGACUUCUGCGGACAGAAGAACAUCCAGGCAUGGAGCUCCCCCUCAUCCCUCAUCUGUUCUUGCUCCUAGUGUUCCUGACCAAUGAGGGAGCUUAACUUCUUGGUUUCUGAUGGGAGUGAAAGAUGUAUGAAAUUGUUUGGCAUUGGGACCUUUAGGGUUGAAAUUCUUUGGGAGUUAGGGUGGGAGGUUAAGGAUUAUUUUUAUAGACUGUGUGUGUGUGUUUGCACACAUAUAGCCUUGGGCUCUUAUGCCCACACGUUUGAUUGUUUUGGCAGGGGUCUGAGGCUGUCUAGAUUCUUGGAUAAGUCCAGUUACUUAAAACUUUGCUUCUAAGCCCUGGAGGAAUAAAGAAAUGGAAAAGACCUUACAUGCAGCUAGUCUGAUUUCUGUUGUCUCCUGCCUUUCCCCUAUUUUUUCCCCCUUCCAAGGAGCUCUGGUGGCACAGUGGUUAAGUGCUCAGCCGCUAACCAAAAGUUUGGUGGUUUGAACCCACCAGCCUCUCCACGGGAGGAUGUGGGAGUCUACUUCCAUUAAGAUCUACAGCCUUGGGAACGCUGUGGGGCAGUUCUACUCUGUUCUACAGGGUCACUGUGAGUUGGAAUCAACUCCAUGGCGAUGGUUUGUUUUUCGGUGGUCCAGGGGGCCUGAGGCAUGAUUUACUAACCAGUGUGGACAGAACUCUGAGCUUGUUUAACCAGUGAGCUAUAGUUCUGGUCAUAUAGCCCUUGCCAGUAUCCUGGAUGCAAAAAUGUCUCAUACAGAACAUUCUUUUGAAAAUGGAUAUGGCUUGGGAUAAAGCUAUAGCCAGUCUUGGUGAUGGUGGUGGUCUGAGAAAGAGGUGCUUGAAAGGAAGGAGUAAGACAGUAGGGGGAGGAACCCUAGGAGGGACAAGAGGCCUGCAUUUUUCUCUCACCAGUGGUUUGUAAUCUUUUUCCUAAAAUACCAGCUCUGAGUUUAAAAGGGUUAGGGCAGGGAGGGAAGAAUCAGCCAGGACAUGAUGGGGUCUUUUAGAGGGACCACAGACUGGGGAAGCCAUGGAGGUAGGCAGAGGAGCAGUUGGGAGGGUGGGUGAGUUAGAAAGGAAGAGGGUUGUGGGGAACUUUGGGGUGGUGGGACCCUUGGCAAGGAUGGAUGGCAAACCAUGUGUGUGGGCAGGCGAGUGGCCCCACCCACUUAAUUACCACUGAAGUGUCCAGGGCUUGGAUCAACCAGAGAUCUAAACAUUGGAGAAAGAGAGAGUGUGACAAUGGCACUGGAAGUCAAGAAGAGAUGGGAAGAGGAGAGACUCAGACAGACGGUGGUCCCUAGCCCCCUCUUGUUCUCCCUGUGGCCCUGUUUUGGGAGAAAUUGAAAGGAAUGAUUAUGCUGGGGCUACAGAAAGGCCCUUCCCUCCUUGGACCGUCAGUUUCGGAAGGAGGAUGUGUAGGAGGAAUGAUGUGGAAAAGAGUAAGUUGACCCUCCAGAUGUGUGUGAAUGAGAUUUCAGGGCUGGAGUGGAGACACAGCUGUGCAUCAGCAUGGCUGAGGGCCACAGGUUAGACAUCUGGACCCAAGCACAGGAAGGAGAUCAUCUGUGCUUGAGUUCUGACUACAUGACAUUGACAGAAUCCAGGAGAGCUGGAGUCAGAAGCAGGCAGAUAGACUGAGAUCAGCGUUCCUCACUGCUUCUCUCUGGCUGUGUCUCUGGGCUGUCAUUGGCCUUUGACUGCUUCAUGCUAACCUUAUGAUCCUAGCCCCUGCCCCCACCCCCGCCAUGUCUGCUCCGCCUUUAACCUGGAUGUGCAUCGCCCACGCCUGUUCCGUGGGCCAGUCGAUGCUGAGUAUGGAUACAGUGUCCAAUAGUGUAGAAACGUUUAGGGAAAGGGAAAUACCCAGUGUGUAGUAGCCAAGUAAGUGGCUUUAGGUCACUUUGUGAAAGAAGUGGGGAAAUCUCUCCCAUAUACAGUUGCCAUAGAGUUACGGGGUCUUUCCUGGGGACCCUGUGUUUUGAGUCCUUACGUUACAGGUCUGAAAAGUAGCUAAAUUUGGAAACUUUGCAAGAGAUCAUGGUUUUUGUUUUUUUUUUCUCUUUUAAUCAUAGCUACCUUCAGCCUUCUGAUACCCAUGCUUGAUGUCUUUUGACUGCAUAGAUUAAACUUUGCCAUUUUGGCCUAUUAUUUAUCUUGCCUCCUAAGGAUGCCUUGUUCUAGUAACCUUUUUUUUUUUUUUUUUAACUCUAUGGGUCAGCCCUGCUGGCUGCCACUAUGAUCUUGCCUCUCAUUAUAAUUAUCCUCACCUUAAACUUGAGAUGUUUAAGCACUACCACCUGACUUAUUUCUGGAUUAUAUCAUUGCCAUUGUUUUUGGGAAGUCCAGAUUUAUAAUGCCAUCUCCUAUUUUCCAGUCUGGCCUAGGGGACAGCCAGAAUCAAGUUUUUCAGUGAUGCUGGUUCCGUUCUCACUAGUGCAUUCCUUAUUGCUUUGGAAAAGAUUGUUCACUGGGCUCUGUGGAACAGCAUCAUAUGAUGGGUUUCUCAGCCCUACAGUGGAAUAUCCAUUUCAGCAUGACUACUUCUCCAUCUUUUGAUUCCUUCGUCAGUCAUCUCAGGGCCCAUAACUUUAAGUGAUGCUGGAGGAAGGCUUAAUGUCUAGAGCUUGGAUGUGUAUGUUAUUUUUGCCAGUUAACAGAAUUGUUCUGUGAUGUAUCAUUUCUGUCUCAUUGACUAUGCAAAGGCAUUUAACUGUGUGGAUCUUUUAACAAAUUAAGGAUAACAUUGCCAGAAUAGGAAUUCCAAAACAGUUGCACUCACGAGAAACCU
Molecule: RNA transcript, 8704 nt
Organism: Trichechus manatus latirostris (Florida manatee)
Lineage: Eukaryota; Metazoa; Chordata; Mammalia; Sirenia; Trichechidae
Gene: LIX1L
Gene name: limb and CNS expressed 1 like
Exons: 10
Source: RefSeq, a predicted model, not a curated record